UUAGUUAAUGACAAACAAUAAUAUAUUUGCAUACUAUCCUAUAUUGUUGAUGACUUCAUUCAACUAUUAACAUCGUUGUUUCAUGUGGAAUAUUCACCUUUAUUAUACUCACCUUUAUUUUGCUCGACAACCACUGUAAUGAACAUGCAGAAGUAAAUUCGCCACAUAAAAAUAAGCAGCAAUCACCCCAAACAACAGAGUCUUUUAGGAUUUCCUUUUUCA
Molecule: long non-coding RNA, 222 nt
Filed under: Salvia miltiorrhiza (redroot sage)
Lineage: Eukaryota; Viridiplantae; Streptophyta; Magnoliopsida; Lamiales; Lamiaceae
Description: long non-coding RNA (SMIL_LNC014081)
Source: RNAcentral